GAUGAAGAACGUAGUGAAAUGCGAUAAGUAAUGUGAAUUGCAGAAUUCAGUGAAUCAUCGAAUCUUUGAACGCACAUUGCGCCCGCCAGUAUUCUGGCGGGCAUGCCUGUCCGAGCGUCAUUUCAACCCUCAAGCCCCCGGGCUUGGUGUUGGAGAUCGGCGAGCCCCCCGGGGCGCGCCGUCUCCCAAAUAUAGUGGCGGUCCCGCUGUAGCUUCCUCUGCGUAGUAGCACACCUCGCACUGGGAAACAGCGUGGCCACGCCGUAAAACCCCCCACUUCUGAAAGGUUGACCUCGGAUCAGGUAGGAAUACCCGCUGAACUUAAGCAUAUCAAUAAGCGGAGGA
This 345-nucleotide unclassified non-coding RNA is filed under the name soil metagenome. RNAcentral describes it as "partial contains 5.8S ribosomal RNA, internal transcribed spacer 2, and large subunit ribosomal RNA". The stretch from base 1 to 120 matches the Rfam family "5.8S ribosomal RNA", at positions 35 to 154 of the family's 154-position model. The record is from RNAcentral.